Sciurus vulgaris (Eurasian red squirrel) is the source of this 108-nucleotide small nuclear RNA. The record is from Ensembl. NCBI's taxonomy places the organism in Eukaryota, Metazoa, Chordata, Mammalia, Rodentia, Sciuridae.
GUGCCAACUCUGGCAUCAUAUAUACUAAAGUCCAAAUGAUCCAGAGAAGAUUUGCAUGGUCUCUGUACAAAAGAUGACACACAGAUGACUGGAGUGUUCCAACUUAUG